UGAAUUGUUUCAAUGUGGGUUAUUUUUCUAAAUUGGUUGGAAGAUUUGUUAGAUUUAACAAUCUCAUUACCUAUCAACUAUUAGGGCUUGUUUGGUUCAAGAGUGGAAUUGGAAUGGAUAAUGAAAUGGAAAUGAAUUGGAAUGGCAAUUGGAUUGCCCCACUCCCCCAACACGUUUGGUUUAUUUCUGGAUUGAAAAUCGGAAUGAAUUAUUCCUAUUUUACUGUUUGGUUGAUACAAAGUAAAAAAAUAACAGAAUAAUAUAAUACUAAUUUUACUUUUAAAUAUAAUUUUAUAAAACUAUCUAAAAUUUAUUUAAAAAAAUUAAUACUGCUCUCAAGUUAGAGCUAUGCCAAAAAAAAUUGAAUUUAUUUAAAAAAUUUUUAUGCAAGAAAUUACAAAAACAAUGCCAAUUUUUUUUUAAUGAUGAGAAAAGAGAGAAGAGAUCGAUAUAGAAAGAGAAAGUAUGGAUAAGAUGGAGAAAUGUUGGGCUGGGCUUGAGGAAGAGGUGAGUGGUCUCCAAGCCCGGAUUGAAACUUCAAUCCGGGCUUGGAGACCGGAAUCAAUUUGUAAGCUAAUGGACCAUUCCCAUUUCGAUUCGAAGUGGGAGUCUCAAACCGAUUCCUGUGAACCAAACAAAAUUAGCAGGAUUUGAUCAAACCGAUUCUCAUUCCGGAUCCAAAAUGUACGAACCAAACAUGCCCUUAAAUCAAUUAAAAAUCUCUUUUACUUUUUGUCAAUUAUCUAUUGGAAGUCUA
RNAcentral lists this long non-coding RNA (757 nucleotides) under Ananas comosus (pineapple). RNAcentral describes it as "long non-coding RNA (ACOM_LNC015391)". Lineage: Eukaryota; Viridiplantae; Streptophyta; Magnoliopsida; Poales; Bromeliaceae. The record is from RNAcentral.